UUUUGUUUUAUUACUGCUUGGAGUUGCUUGAGCAGAGGGUCUUUGGGAACCAGCUUCUCUACCUCUCCGAGGUAUUGGUAAGGACUGCGUACACUCUACCCUCCCACAAACCACUUUGUGGGACUUCACUUGUUAUGUUGUUGUUGAGAGCUUGUAUAGAGGUUAAGUAUCUAUUGCUGUUGCAUUAAAUCAUGUGCCUUGUCUCUUUACAGGCUGCCAACUAUUUAAAAAUAAAGAGCCUGAUUGACCUGACAUGUCAGACACUUGCUGACAUGAUCAAAG
RNAcentral lists this unclassified non-coding RNA (282 nucleotides) under Hevea brasiliensis (rubber tree). Lineage: Eukaryota; Viridiplantae; Streptophyta; Magnoliopsida; Malpighiales; Euphorbiaceae. The record is from RNAcentral.